This 322-nucleotide ribosomal RNA is filed under the name uncultured eukaryote. RNAcentral's name for it is "partial 18S ribosomal RNA". It matches the Rfam family "Eukaryotic small subunit ribosomal RNA", at positions 1470 to 1796 of the family's 1831-position model. The record is from RNAcentral.
CCCUUAGAUGUUCUGGGCCGCACGCGUGCUACACUGAGUAAUUCAAUGGGUAAGGGAACGCUAGAGCAUUACCUAAUCUUGAAAUUUGCUCGUGAUGGGGAUCGACGGUUGCAAUUUUCCGUCGUGAACGAGGAAUACCUUGUAGGCGCAUGUCAUCAUCAUGCGCCGAAUACGUCCCUGCCCUUUGUACACACCGCCUGUCGCUCCUACCGAUUGAGUGAUCCGGUGAGGCUCUGGGACCUGGACGGAAAGAGCGUUUCGCUUGUUCUGUUUGGGAAACUUGGUCGAACCUUAUCAUUUAGAGGAAGGAGAAGUCGUAACA